This 1280-nucleotide long non-coding RNA is filed under the name Ananas comosus (pineapple). RNAcentral's name for it is "long non-coding RNA (ACOM_LNC017606)". The record is from RNAcentral. Lineage: Eukaryota; Viridiplantae; Streptophyta; Magnoliopsida; Poales; Bromeliaceae.
CCACUAGCUACCAUAAUAUGCAUCAAUGAUAAACACUCAUCUUAGACAUACAGGCGACCUAGUCGCUUCGGUAAACACAACUCACCUCAAAUCGCUUUCCGAUUGCUUAUCGACACUUGCAAUCGGCCUCCCGCGGCACCCAUAUCCGGUUCGGCCCGAUUUUACUAAUACUCACCAACCGUACGCCGAAUCGUGGCUCUAAAAAUUAUAAGUCUUCGGUUAUGUGCCACGGUGCUCCAAAUCCGUUUUCAUGAUUUUACGAUGUCGCCUCGGCCUCCAGGCGGAAACGAAGCCUAAAUGUCCGUUUCUUUAAUAUCUUUACAACGGCUCGACGAAUCGCCGAACCGACUUCGCCAACGCGUUCGUUUACCUAGCAAUUAGGUUUACGGAGGGUCAAAUGAGAUCAAACCCUACUAUUUUACAAAACUCCAUUUUCUAAGCCUAACAUGAAUUAACCUCCAAAUAAUCCAAAUUAAAUGGAGCAACAUGCUAACAAAGCUCAUUAGAGGCUAUUAGAACAUUUUGGGCUUGUUUGGUUCAAGGGUGGAAUUGGAAUGGAUAAUGGAACGGGAAUGAAUUGGAAUGGUAAUUAGAAUGGCCCACUCCCUCAAAACGUUUGGUUUAUUUAUGGAUUGAAAAUUGGAAUGAGUUAUUCACAUUUUAUUGUUUGGUUCGUAUAAACUAAAAAAUUAUAGGAUACUAUAAUACUAAUUUUACUCUCAAAUAUAAAUUUAUAUUAUUUAAAAUUUAUGAAAAAUAUAAUACUAUUCUCUAAUAAAUUUUCCAAAAAAAAUAUCAAAUUUAUUUUUAAAAACUUUUAUUAAUGUGGGUUAGGGAUAGGGUUUUGAGAGAGAAUAGGUUUUUUUUUUUUUGAUGAGAAAGGGGUGAAGAGAAGGAGUGUGAGAUGGUCACAUGGGCUUCGAGAACUUAGUGGGCUUUCGGAAUGAAAUCUCAAUCCGGGUUAGAAGACCGGAAUCAAGUUGAAGGCUAAUGGGCCAUUCCCAUUCCAGUUCGGAAUAGGAAUCCCAAACCGAUUCAUGCGAACCAAACAAAAUUAACCGGAUUUGAUCAAACCGAUUCCCAUUCCAUACCCAAAAUGGAUGAACCAAACAAGCCCUUAAUGUGAAGGAUUAAGACAAAUUCCAAAAGCUUACCACAAUGUGAACGCCGCAACGAAAGCACGCCGCUCCAACGGCUGCACGAGAGCUCGAACCGACGCCUCCAACGCGUUCGCAAGCUCGCUCUCCACCAACCCUCAAAUUUUUAGAGAGAGAUUUGGA